AUUGAACGCUGGCGGCAUGCUUUACACAUGCAAGUCGAGCGGUAACAGGCCUUCGGGUGCUGACGAGUGGCGCACGGGUGAGUAAUGCAUCGGAACGUACCCAGAGGUGGGGGAUAACGCAGCGAAAGCUGUGCUAAUACCGCAUGUGAUCUGAGGAUGAAAGCGGGGGACCGAGCAGCAAUGUUUGGCCUCGCGCCUUUGGAGCGGCCGAUGUCGGAUUAGCUAGUUGGUGGGGUAAAGGCCUACCAAGGCGACGAUCCGUAGCUGGUCUGAGAGGACGACCAGCCACACUGGGACUGAGACACGGACCAGACUCCUACGGGAGGCAGCAGUGGGGAAUUUUGGACAAUGGGCGCAAGCCUGAUCCAGCAAUGCCGCGUGCGGGAAGAAGGCCUUCGGGUUGUAAACCGCUUUUGGCAGGAACGAAACGGUGUCCGCUAAUACCGGGCGCUAAUGACGGUACCUGCAGAAUAAGCACCGGCUAACUACGUG
RNAcentral lists this ribosomal RNA (492 nucleotides) under uncultured bacterium. RNAcentral describes it as "partial 16S ribosomal RNA". It matches the Rfam family "Bacterial small subunit ribosomal RNA", at positions 29 to 507 of the family's 1533-position model. The record is from RNAcentral.